This 285-nucleotide small RNA is filed under the name Histoplasma capsulatum. RNAcentral's name for it is "hypothetical RNA". RNAcentral also lists the same sequence under 1 other name. The record is from RNAcentral. Lineage: Eukaryota; Fungi; Ascomycota; Eurotiomycetes; Onygenales; Ajellomycetaceae.
UGACCGGUGAAUGAAGAAGAACUGGUAGAGUAUUGUUCGAGGAUAUAUUUUAACAUCAUCGAAGGCUCUGAGGAUUGAGGAUCGAACUGUUCAGGCAAAUUAUAGGAGAGACAGGGUUCAGAUGCAGACGACAGAAAUCUAUAUCUUCUGCAUGGGAUGUCAGAUACUAUCAGAGUGCAUGCCACAUCAGUCAGAGCAUGAGCAACUGGAAGGUGGGGGACUGAUUGUUUGAUUCUCCUCUUUGGGCCGGAUGACGAUUUCAGAUUUUGUCAUUUUGUACCACCA